Molecule: ribosomal RNA, 631 nt
Filed under: uncultured bacterium
Lineage: Bacteria
Description: bacterial SSU rRNA
Rfam family: Bacterial small subunit ribosomal RNA
Source: RNAcentral
CGCUGGCGGCAGGCCUAACACAUGCAAGUCGAACGGCAGCACAGAGGAGCUUGCUCCUUGGGUGGCGAGUGGCGGACGGGUGAGGAAUGCGUCGGAAUCUGCCUUUUUGUGGGGGAUAACGUAGGGAAACUUACGCUAAUACCGCAUACGACCUACGGGUGAAAGUGGGGGACCGCAAGGCCUCACGCAGAUAGAUGAGCCGACGCCGGAUUAGCUAGUUGGCGGGGUAAAGGCCCACCAAGGCGACGAUCCGUAGCUGGUCUGAGAGGAUGAUCAGCCACACUGGGACUGAGACACGGCCCAGACUCCUACGGGAGGCAGCAGUGGGGAAUAUUGGACAAUGGGCGCAAGCCUGAUCCAGCCAUGCCGCGUGUGUGAAGAAGGCCUUCGGGUUGUAAAGCACUUUUGUCCGGAAAGAAAUCCAAUCGAUUAAUACUCGGUUGGGAUGACGGUACCGGAAGAGUAAGCACCGGCUAACUUCGUGCCAGCAGCCGCGGUAAUACGAAGGGUGCAAGCGUUACUCGGAAUUACUGGGCGUAAAGCGUGCGUAGGUGGUUGGUUAAGUCUGAUGUGAAAGCCCUGGGCUCAACCUGGGAACUGCAUUGGAUACUGGCUUACUAGAGUGCGGUAG